This 381-nucleotide ribosomal RNA is filed under the name uncultured bacterium. Its description in RNAcentral is "bacterial SSU rRNA". It matches the Rfam family "Bacterial small subunit ribosomal RNA", at positions 524 to 902 of the family's 1533-position model. The record is from RNAcentral.
UACGUAGGGUGCGAGCGUUAAUCGGAAUUACUGGGCGUAAAGCGUGCGCAGGUGGUUUGUUAAGUCAGAUGUGAAAGCCCCGAGCUUAACUUGGGAACUGCGUUUGAAACUGGCAAGCUAGAGUCUGUCAGAGGGGGGUAGAAUUCCACGUGUAGCAGUGAAAUGCGUAGAGAUGUGGAGGAAUACCAAUGGCGAAGGCAGCCCCCUGGGAUAAGACUGACGCUCAUGCACGAAAGCGUGGGGGGAGCAAACAGGAUUAGAUACCCUGGUAGUCCACGCCCUAAACGAUGUCAACUGGUUGUUGGGCAACUUGAUUGUUCAGUAACGAAGCUAACGCGAGAAGUUGACCGCCUGGGGAGUACGGUCGCGAGAUUAAAACUC